CCCCCGGGCACCUCAUGCCGUCUCCAGCUGCGGCCUCUUGCUGAUGCUUCUUAUCUUGAAGAGGUCUCUUCUCUGCAAGAGGAACAUCUGGGCUCUUCAUUGCAGCCACCAGAUGGGAGUGUCGGCACUUAUGACCUUCCCGAGGCCAGCUGCCCGCUCCGUGACUCCGCAGCUUACCACGACUACGCCGAGCUCCAGAGCUUCCAGAGCGACUUCAGC
RNAcentral lists this long non-coding RNA (219 nucleotides) under Athene cunicularia (burrowing owl). RNAcentral's name for it is "lncRNA (ENSACUG00000001931.1)". The record is from RNAcentral. Lineage: Eukaryota; Metazoa; Chordata; Aves; Strigiformes; Strigidae.